UAGACAGGAACAUCAGUAGGAUAAUCCUGUGGGUGUUUUCGAACUGUUUCACGAAUAGAUACUUCUUGUUCUUGGAGGUUGGCUGGAGAAACAUCAUAUACAUCUGUAAAUACAUCCUUAAUUGGGGGCUUCUCUUGUUUUUCUGCAACUUGAAUGGCUUGCAGUACCUGCUUUCUGAUAUUACUGCGAAGGUCGGAUUCAACCUGAGGGUUCAACCAGCCUUCUCUUUCAAUCCAUUUCUUAAAUCUGCUUACAGGGUCUCUUUCUCUUCUCCACCAUUCGAUUUCUUUAGCUGGACGAUAUUUGGUUGAGUCAUCUGAGGUCGAAUGAUGUCCUGCUCUAUAAGUAAGAGCCUCAACUAGAAUAGGUUUACAUUCAUUAACAGCCAUUUUUCGUGCCUCAUGGACAGCAGUGAAAACAGCAAGAGCAUCAUUACCAUCCACACGAAUACUACGAAUUCCAUAGCCCUGUCCUUUGGUAACAACACCGUCACUUCUAAACUGGUCACUAACAGGUGUGCUUAUGGCAAACCCAUUGUUCCGGCAGAAAAAGAUAACGGGUGCAUCUAACACCGCGGCAAAGUUCAGAGCAG
Molecule: unclassified non-coding RNA, 592 nt
Filed under: Hevea brasiliensis (rubber tree)
Lineage: Eukaryota; Viridiplantae; Streptophyta; Magnoliopsida; Malpighiales; Euphorbiaceae
Source: RNAcentral